GACGAACGCUGGCGGCGUGCUUAACACAUGCAAGUCGAACGGAAAGGCCCUGCUUUUGUGGGGUGCUCGAGUGGCGAACGGGUGAGUAACAAGUGAGUAACCUGCCCUUGACUUUGGGAUAACUUCAGGAAACUGGGGCUAAUACCGGAUAGGAGCUCCUGCUGCAUGGUGGGGGUUGGAAAGUUUCGGCGGUUGGGGAUGGACUCGCGGCGUAUCAGCUUGUUGGUGGGGUAGUGGCUUACCAAGGCUUUGACGGGUAGCCGGCCUGAGAGGGUGACCGGCCACAUUGGGGCUGAGAUACGGCCCAGACUCCUACGGGAGGCAGCAGUGGGGAAUAUUGCACAAUGGGCGGAGGCCUGAUGCAGCAACGCCGCGUGCGGGAUGACGGCCUUCGGGUUGUAAACCGCUUUCGCCUGUGACGAAGCGUGAGUGACGGUAAUGGGUAAAGAAGCACCGGCUAACUACGUG
Molecule: ribosomal RNA, 468 nt
Filed under: uncultured bacterium
Lineage: Bacteria
Description: partial 16S ribosomal RNA
Rfam family: Bacterial small subunit ribosomal RNA
Source: RNAcentral